CCUAUAGAUAAAAAGAUAAAGAAAAAAGAUUUUAGAAUACGACGAAGAUAUAUAAGCAUAUGCAUACCCCUAUGUGCCCAUGCAUACCUACAUACCCGUAAGGUUUUUUUGGGUUCGGUUGCUAACGGUAGCCGGUGUAUAAGAAGGGGAGUUCCUAUUAUUGUCGGUACUGGAUGAAUGAAAACGUCCCAUUGAAUGUUUGCUUUUUAGUUCCGUCGAACUGGUGGAUGCCCAAGGUUUUUUAUAUAUUUAUUUUAUUAUUAUUAUUUUUUUAUAUUUUUUGGUAGGGUCAAGAGACGGAGAGCACGCGCGCGCGAGAUUGAGAGUGAGAGCGAGAGCGAGGGAGAGAGGGGGGGAGAGAGGGGGAUGUCGGAAGUAAGUAGGUGUGCGGUGGCUACCGCGCCAUCCUACCCUGCCGCCCUAGGCAUUUUCCAACUCCUAUUCACCUCCUCAAACCCGGCGAAGGGCAGAGUGGUGGUAGGAUGGUGAGGGACGAGAGAGAGGGGGGGGAGGGGGAGAGGGAGAGGUUUGAUGGAAAAUUGUCCUUUUGUUCGUAGAAUUGGAGGAUCCAAAAACUGAGCACGAACUAAUUAACGAACGAACGAACGAACGAACGCACGCACGAACGCACGAACGAGAGAGAGAGGGAGAGAGGGAGAGGGGGAUGUCGGAAGUAAGUAGGUGUGCGGUGGCUACCACGCCAUCCUACCCUGCCGCCCUAGGCAUUUUCCAACUCCUAUUCACCUCCUCAAACCCGGCAAAGGGCAGAGUGGUGGUAGGAUGGUGAGGGACAAGAGAGAGGGGGAGAGAGAGGGAGAGUUUCGCUUAAAAUGUAUCCUUUUAUUUGUAGAAUUGGAGGAUUCGAGAAGUUUGAACUGUAAAGGUUGGUCGGGUCAAAAAAUGCAAAUAAGGCUCAAAACAAGACCAGUUUGUCCGAGGGCUCUGGCAAGGUUAGGUGAAACUCCGUAUCCCAUAGGUCUCCCCGGAGGGGGAGGGAGAGGGAGAGUUUCGCUUAAUAUGUAUCCUUUUAUUUGUAGAAUUGGAGGAUUCGAGGAGUUUGAACUGUAAAGGUUGGUCGGGUCAAAAAAUGCAAAUAAGGCUCAAAACAAGACCAGUUUGUCCGAGGGCUCUGGCAAGGUUAGGUGAAACUCCGUAUCCCAUAGGUCUCCCCGGGUCGUCCAACGACUUCCUCGGUUUAAAUAGAGAUCUAAGGCAAGGCACGGGCCGGCGCUUGUCAUUCAUGGUCAAGAUGUCCACAUGCAUUUUUGACCCCAAAAAGUUUUUAGAAGAUUGUUUCGGAUGGUGUUAAGUAAAGGUCUGGAGGACCAUUUGAAGCCAAUAUUGGGCAUUGAUAGAAUUGUUAUUCAUAUUCUGUUGUAGAAGAACCCCCGGAUUGUUUCGGAUGGUAUUCCGUAAAGGUCUGGAGGACCGUUUGAAGCCAAUAUUGGGCAUUGAUAGAAUGUUAUUCAUAUUCUGUAUAGAAGACCCGGAUGUUC
Molecule: long non-coding RNA, 1496 nt
Filed under: Gadus morhua (Atlantic cod)
Lineage: Eukaryota; Metazoa; Chordata; Actinopteri; Gadiformes; Gadidae
Description: lncRNA (ENSGMOG00000025776.1)
Source: RNAcentral